RNAcentral lists this ribosomal RNA (965 nucleotides) under Staphylococcus aureus. Its description in RNAcentral is "bacterial SSU rRNA". It matches the Rfam family "Bacterial small subunit ribosomal RNA", at positions 48 to 995 of the family's 1533-position model. Lineage: Bacteria; Bacillati; Bacillota; Bacilli; Caryophanales; Staphylococcaceae. The record is from RNAcentral.
GCUAUACAUGCAGUCGAGCGAACGGACGAGAAGCUUGCUUCUCUGAUGUUAGCGGCGGACGGGUGAGUAACACGUGGAUAACCUACCUAUAAGACUGGGAUAACUUCGGGAAACCGGAGCUAAUACCGGAUAAUAUUUUGAACCGCAUGGUUCAAAAGUGAAAGACGGUCUUGCUGUCACUUAUAGAUGGAUCCGCGCUGCAUUAGCUAGUUGGUAAGGUAACGGCUUACCAAGGCAACGAUGCAUAGCCGACCUGAGAGGGUGAUCGGCCACACUGGAACUGAGACACGGUCCAGACUCCUACGGGAGGCAGCAGUAGGGAAUCUUCCGCAAUGGGCGAAAGCCUGACGGAGCAACGCCGCGUGAGUGAUGAAGGUCUUCGGAUCGUAAAACUCUGUUAUUAGGGAAGAACAUAUGUGUAAGUAACUGUGCACAUCUUGACGGUACCUAAUCAGAAAGCCACGGCUAACUACGUGCCAGCAGCCGCGGUAAUACGUAGGUGGCAAGCGUUAUCCGGAAUUAUUGGGCGUAAAGCGCGCGUAGGCGGUUUUUUAAGUCUGAUGUGAAAGCCCACGGCUCAACCGUGGAGGGUCAUUGGAAACUGGAAAACUUGAGUGCAGAAGAGGAAAGUGGAAUUCCAUGUGUAGCGGUGAAAUGCGCAGAGAUAUGGAGGAACACCAGUGGCGAAGGCGACUUUCUGGUCUGUAACUGACGCUGAUGUGCGAAAGCGUGGGGAUCAAACAGGAUUAGAUACCCUGGUAGUCCACGCCGUAAACGAUGAGUGCUAAGUGUUAGGGGGUUUCCGCCCCUUAGUGCUGCAGCUAACGCAUUAAGCACUCCGCCUGGGGAGUACGACCGCAAGGUUGAAACUCAAAGGAAUUGACGGGGACCCGCACAAGCGGUGGAGCAUGUGGUUUAAUUCGAAGCAACGCGAAGAACCUUACCAAAUCUUGACAUCCUUUGAC